This is a long non-coding RNA of Lathyrus oleraceus (garden pea), 711 nucleotides long. RefSeq lists it as uncharacterized. Lineage: Eukaryota; Viridiplantae; Streptophyta; Magnoliopsida; Fabales; Fabaceae. The record is from RefSeq and is a predicted model, not a curated record. The transcript has 3 exons.
AUCUCCCCUAAAAUUGAAUUUGAUGAGUCCACGCCGAAAUCAAAUUCUCCAAUCAACUUAUAUUAGCAUGCAGAAUCGGAACGAACACGUGGAUUUGUUCAAGUGAUUCAUGUUGAUUAAAUAAGCAAGACUUAGAAGAGCACUUACUAAUUCGAAUCUCCGAAGUGGUGGCUCUCCGGUGAUGGUGCAGGUUAUGCUACGAAGGAAUCCAGUUUUGUUUCUAUUGAAGAAAUUCGACACGUUCAAUCAUGUUAUGCAGGGAAAAAGGAUAUCUUGUGUUAACCUUCACUUCUGUUUUGUCACAAAUUGAUUCUGCUAUCUGGUGUAGCAGCUAUGCAGAUUCGACUUGUGCUUAUGGAAUGGGAGUUGAACAUGUUGCUUGGAUUGCAUUGAGUUUGCUGCUCCUGGCUUGAUGGGCUAACUUUUGAAACUUCAAUGCAGGAUUAUGCUGGGUGGUAACAUGAUGCUGUAGAAACAAUAUAGUUACGAUAUGCAUGAAAUGCCAUCAUGGUUCAUGUGAUUAGGAUAGGUUAAGUAGUUUGAUGGUACUUUUAGGUUAGGCAUUAGAACCUUAGGUUAGAUGUUAGUUUGUGCUUGUUUUGGAUUUGUAAAUUUGUAAUGCAUUGCCAUGGAUGGAAUGGAAGUUAUGUAUUGAAAUAACUUUGUAAAUGAAAAGUUUGAAAGUUGAAUGCAUGGAAAGUUUAUAUUGAA